Molecule: small RNA, 864 nt
Filed under: Histoplasma capsulatum
Lineage: Eukaryota; Fungi; Ascomycota; Eurotiomycetes; Onygenales; Ajellomycetaceae
Also listed under: 1 other name
Description: hypothetical RNA
Source: RNAcentral
AGCUGCAAACCGGAUAACCAAUGAGCUUUCAUUGAUAUACAGUACAUACAUGUGCUUGUAAAGGACAUGUAUGUCCCAUGAAGAUAGCCUAUUUUCAAGGGCUGGACUGGAGCCGGUGGCAAGAGGCUAGAGCAGUCCUAGUAUCAGUAGCCGGCUAUUCAGUUUGUUGUUACUUGAAUAUGGAAGGGGUGGCCAGGGUCGUUUGUGAGGCUCAGAAGGUGUGAAGGCACGGCACACGCCAUGGUUCUGCUGGAAGUGUCCAGGAGUUAGAUCGGUGGAAUGAACGAGAGAGUUUGCAACCCUCGGAGAGCGCAGCAAGCAAAAAAACAAACCUUAUCGCCCAAGUUGAGUUCAGAUUGGAAGAAAGACAGUGAGUGCAUCAUACAUCUACAACGGCUGCUUCCAAGUACGAGCGAGGUAUGAGAUAUCAAGGACCUGAACAGGAGUUGAAAUGUCUGGUGGCUCAGUCAGCCCUAGGGCGAGGGGAAGAAGUCUCACUGGGCCUGGACAGGGACGUAGUAAUGGAACAUGAGAGAUCAUAGGAACUGUAAUAUUUGGACACGGCCCGAGAAAUGGCGGGAAUAAAGAGUACUCUGGAGAUGAAUGGAGCGAAUGGAAGAAGGAGAAAGAAAAUGGCACAGGCAGUGGUGAUUAACGGAGAACAGACAGAUAUUGGAAGAAAAGGAAUAGAGCGGAGCCGUACUGAUACUAGUUAGUACAUUCAGAACUUGAGGAUUGAAAAUUGAAACAUUCAACCAUGAAGGGAGGAUAUAUAAAAAUAGGCAUUCCUGUGUCAAUCAUGCAUGAAGAAGAACAAGAGAAUUGAAAUAAGAAAGAAGUAAUAAUGGGCAACAAACAGCAGCA